GACGAACGCUGGCGGCGUGCCUAAUACAUGCAAGUAGAACGCAGUUGCGAACGGGUGAGUAACGCGUAGGUAACUGCCUCAUAGCGGGGGAUAACUAUUGGAAACGAUAGCUAAUACCGCAUACUGUGAGAUGGACCUGCGUUGUAUUGGCUAGUUGGUGAGGUAAAGGGUCACCAAGGCGACGAUCCAUACCCGACCUGAGAGGGGUGUCGGGCAAAAUGGGAAUGGGACACGGCCCAGACCCCUACGGGAAGCAGGAGGAGGGAAUCUUCGGCAAUGGACGGAAGUCUGACCGAGCAACGCCGCGUGAGAUAAGAAGGUUUUCGGAGCGGAAAGCUCUGUUGUGAGAGAAGCGGUAACUACCCAGAAAGGGACGGCUAACUACGUGCCAGCAGCCGCGGUAAUAC
Molecule: ribosomal RNA, 407 nt
Filed under: uncultured bacterium
Lineage: Bacteria
Description: partial 16S ribosomal RNA
Rfam family: Bacterial small subunit ribosomal RNA
Source: RNAcentral